Molecule: ribosomal RNA, 204 nt
Filed under: uncultured bacterium
Lineage: Bacteria
Description: partial 16S ribosomal RNA
Rfam family: Bacterial small subunit ribosomal RNA
Source: RNAcentral
AGUUCGGAUUGGAGUCUGCAACCCGACUCCAUGAAGCUGGAUUCGCUAGUAAUCGCGCAUCAGCCACGGCGCGGUGAAUACGUUCCCGGGCCUUGUACACACCGCCCGUCAAGCCAUGGAAGCCGGGGGGUGCCUGAAGUGCGCUGCCGCAAGGAGCGCCCUAGGGUAAAACCGGUGACUGGGGCUAAGUCGUAACAAGGUAGC